This 370-nucleotide ribosomal RNA is filed under the name uncultured organism. RNAcentral's name for it is "bacterial SSU rRNA". It matches the Rfam family "Bacterial small subunit ribosomal RNA", at positions 527 to 896 of the family's 1533-position model. The record is from RNAcentral.
GUAGGGUGCGAGCGUUAAUCGGAAUUACUGGGCGUAAAGUGUGCGCAGGCGGCAGAGCAAGUCGAGUGUGAAAGCCCCGGCUUAACUUGGGAAUUGCGCUCGAGACUACUUUGCUGGAGUGUGGCAGAGGAAGGUGGAAUUCCACGUGUAGCGGUGAAAUGCGUAGAGAUGUGGAGGAACACCAAUGGCGAAGGCAGCCUUCUGGGCCAACGCUGACGCUCAUGCACGAAAGCGUGGGGAGCAAACAGGAUUAGAUACCCUGGUAGUCCACGCCCUAAACGAUGACGACUAGUUGUUGGAGGAGUUAAAUCCUUUAGUAACGCAGCUAACGCGCGAAGUCGUCCGCCUGGGGAGUACGGUCGCAAGAUUA